GAUGAACGCUGGCGGCGUGCCUAAUACAUGCAAGUCGAGCGAACAGACGAGGAGCUUGCUCCUCUGACGUUAGCGGCGGACGGGUGAGUAACACGUGGAUAACCUACCUAUAAGACUGGGAUAACUUCGGGAAACCGGAUCUAAUACCGGAUAAUAUAUUGAACCGCAUGGUUCAAUAGUGAAAGACGGUUUUGCUGUCACUUAUAGAUGGAUCCGCGCCGCAUUAGCUAGUUGGUAAGGUAACGGCUUACCAAGGCGACGAUGCGUAGCCGACCUGAGAGGAUGAUCGGCCACACUGGAACUGAGACACGGUCCAGACUCCUACGGGAGGCAGCAGUAGGGAAUCUUCCGCAAUGGGCGAAAGCCUGACGGAGCAACGCCGCGUGAGUGAUGAAGGUCUUCGGAUCGUAAAACUCUGUUAUUAGGGAAGAACAAAUGUGUAAGUAACUAUGCACGUCUUGACGGUACCUAAUCAGAAAGCCACGGCUAACUACGUG
This 497-nucleotide ribosomal RNA is filed under the name uncultured bacterium. RNAcentral describes it as "partial 16S ribosomal RNA". It matches the Rfam family "Bacterial small subunit ribosomal RNA", at positions 28 to 507 of the family's 1533-position model. The record is from RNAcentral.